GAUGAACGCUGGCGGCGUGCCCAAUACAUGCAAGUCGAGCGAACGGGCGAGAAGCUUGCUUCUCUGAUGUUAGCGGCGGACGGGUGAGUAACACGUGGAUAACCUACCUAUAAGACUGGGAUAACUUCGGGAAACCGUAGCUAAUACCGGAUAAUAUUUUGAACCGCAUGGUUCAAUAGUGAAAGACGGUCUUGCUGUCACUUAUAGAUGGAUCCGCGCUGCAUUAGCUAGUUGGUAAGGUAACGGCUUACCAAGGCAACGAUGCAUAGCCGACCUGAGAGGGUGAUCGGCCACACUGGAACUGAGACACGGUCCAGACUCCUACGGGAGGCAGCAGUAGGGAAUCUUCCGCAAUGGGCGAAAGCCUGACGGAGCAACGCCGCGUGAGUGAUGAAGGUCUUCGGAUCGUAAAACUCUGUUAUUAGGGAAGAACAUAUGUGUAAGUAACUGUGCACAUCUUGACGGUACCUAAUCAGAAAGCCACGGCUAACUACGUG
Molecule: ribosomal RNA, 497 nt
Filed under: uncultured bacterium
Lineage: Bacteria
Description: partial 16S ribosomal RNA
Rfam family: Bacterial small subunit ribosomal RNA
Source: RNAcentral